CGCCGGUAAGGUGAUAUGAACCGUUAUAACCGGCGAUUUCCGAAUGGGGAAACCCAGUGUGAUUCGUCACACUAUCAUUAACUGAAUCCAUAGGUUAAUGAGGCGAACCGGGGGAACUGAAACAUCUAAGUACCCCGAGGAAAAGAAAUCAACCGAGAUUCCCCCAGUAGCGGCGAGCGAACGGGGAGGAGCCCAGAGCCUGAAUCAGCAUGUGUGUUAGUGGAAGCGUCUGGAAAGGCGCGCGAUACAGGGUGACAGCCCCGUACACAAAAGCGCAUGUGCUGUGAGCUCGAUGAGUAGGGCGGGACACGUGGUAUCCUGUCUGAAUAUGGGGGGACCAUCCUCCAAGGCUAAAUACUCCUGACUGACCGAUAGUGAACCAGUACCGUGAGGGAAAGGCGAAAAGAACCCCGGCGAGGGGAGUGAAAAAGAACCUGAAACCGUGUACGUACAAGCAGUGGGAGCACCCUUCGGGGUGUGACUGCGUACCUUUUGUAUAAUGGGUCAGCGAC
Molecule: ribosomal RNA, 512 nt
Filed under: Salmonella enterica subsp. enterica serovar Typhimurium
Lineage: Bacteria; Pseudomonadati; Pseudomonadota; Gammaproteobacteria; Enterobacterales; Enterobacteriaceae
Description: partial 23S ribosomal RNA
Rfam family: Bacterial large subunit ribosomal RNA
Source: RNAcentral